This 222-nucleotide transfer-messenger RNA is filed under the name Synechococcus phage S-CRM01. RNAcentral's name for it is "Cyanobacteria transfer-messenger RNA". It matches the Rfam family "Cyanobacteria transfer-messenger RNA". From Rfam's summary of the family: Bacterial tmRNA, also known as 10Sa RNA or SsrA, is named for its dual tRNA and mRNA-like properties. Its role is to liberate the mRNA from a stalled ribosome. The record is from Rfam by way of RNAcentral. Lineage: Duplodnaviria; Heunggongvirae; Uroviricota; Caudoviricetes; Pantevenvirales; Kyanoviridae.
UUGUCACCGGUAUUGAUCAAGAGAUUAUCACCUCUAUUGUUUAGGACUGGGGUUCGACUCCCCACAUCUCCACUUCUUGGGGAUGCCAAGGUUUCGACUGAACUAUAUGUGUAUAAUUGUUGACGGAUCGAAACAACAACUGCAAACAACGUAGUUAAAUUCCGCAGAACUGCCGUAACCUCCCUGGUUGCCGCACUUUGAGCGAUGGGGUCUUCGGGCCCC